CACUGCUCUAUAUUUUGAUGUAACGGGAAGUGCCGGAGGUGGAGGUGGAGGUGGAGGUAUUACGCUGUUUCCUGAUGUAAUAUGGGCUGGUGGUGGUGAUGGUGCUGGUUCCUCGCUCUCACUUGAGGAAUCUGGUUGAUGUUCUGGCUGAGGUGGUGUUGGUAUUUGUGAUUCUAUGAUUUUUGGUGAUAAAAUGCUUGGAGAAGGUGGCACUGAUGACUGAUCCGUUACAUUUGAUUGCAACCUAGAAAUUGAAGAUGGAGGUAAAAGCACAUCAAAGGUAACACGAGCUGGGACCGCUUGCCCGUCUGAUGCACCUGUCCAAAAUAUUCCACCAUUUUCUGAUGCUUUCUCCAGGCUAGUCAUUAGAAUCUCCGGUAAGUCCAUUAUUUCACAAUCUUGCUUUGCUUCUGUAUUUGAAUCUUGAUUUGCAUUGGGGAACAUGUGGAACGAGAGGUGUUUUACCUCAAUCGGGUUCUGGUUUCCAACAGCUUGAACCCUGAAUGAUAAGAGAAGAGGGGAAGCAAUAGAAGGUUUUGCAUUCUUCUUUGAGGCAUUGGUUAUUAUCUCAGGGAGGACUGAAGUUGGAGAGCUCGAAAGGGAGGAAUUGUUGCUCGAGUAAGUCUCCGAAAAGUUCUUCUCGAAUGCGUCAGAUGCGUGUCGGAUCUUUCAAAAGUAGUGCAUUUUUGGAGGAUCCGACACAGGUGGCGAAACCAGGAGCUUUGGAAGGGCGUCAAGAUUUAAUAUAUAUUUUGACCUAUAUACACAUAAUAAUUUUUAUAUGUAUAGUAUGAUCUUUUGACGAAGGGUGUUCAGCUGACCACCCUCCACUCUAUGACUCGGCAUUUUUGGAGAGUCCGAGCGACAUAAUUGAGUGAUUUUGACAAGUAUUUAAGACAAAGUAACAGAAGAAUAUAUAUAUAUACCUCAUUUGCAGAUUCAGAGCCAUCACAAGGAGAAAGAUCAAGCAAAUCUCUCAAUGUGAGGAUCUUGUUUUGUAUACCUGUCAUUAUUCUGAAAUUGCUGGCCACACCAAUUGAAUUGUGAAAAGUGGGACUUUUUGUUGCUCUCACCCCAUUUGAAUUGUGCAAUCUGGGACUUUUUGGUGUUUUCACCAUAUUUGAAUUGUGUAAUCUUGGACUUCUUGGUGUUUGCACCCAACAUGAAUUGCGCACUUUGGA
Molecule: long non-coding RNA, 1181 nt
Organism: Lycium ferocissimum
Lineage: Eukaryota; Viridiplantae; Streptophyta; Magnoliopsida; Solanales; Solanaceae
Exons: 2
Source: RefSeq, a predicted model, not a curated record